Molecule: ribosomal RNA, 349 nt
Filed under: uncultured bacterium
Lineage: Bacteria
Description: bacterial SSU rRNA
Rfam family: Bacterial small subunit ribosomal RNA
Source: RNAcentral
GGGCCCGCACAAGCGGUGGAGCAUGUGGUUUAAUUCGAUGAUACGCGAGGAACCUUACCAGGGCUUAAAUGUAGUAUGACCGGCUUGGAAACAGGCCUUCUCUUCGGAGCAGAUUACAAGGUGCUGCAUGGUUGUCGUCAGCUCGUGCCGUGAGUGUUAGGUUAAGUCCUGCAACGAGCGCAACCCCUAUUCUUAGUUGCCAGCGGUUCGGCCGGGGACUCUAAGAAGACUGCCAGCGCAAGCUGAGAGGAAGGUGGGGGAUGACGUCAAAUCAUCACGGCCCUUACGUCCUGGGCUACACACGUGCUACAAUGGUAGAGACAGAGGGCAGCCACCUGGUGACAGGGAG